This 84-nucleotide transfer RNA is filed under the name Lentisphaeria bacterium. Its description in RNAcentral is "tRNA-Leu". It matches the Rfam family "tRNA". From Rfam's summary of the family: Transfer RNA (tRNA) molecules are approximately 80 nucleotides in length. Their secondary structure includes four short double-helical elements and three loops (D, anti-codon, and T loops). Further hydrogen bonds mediate the characteristic L-shaped molecular structure. tRNAs have two regions of fundamental functional importance: the anti-codon, which is responsible for specific mRNA codon recognition, and the 3' end, to which the tRNAs corresponding amino acid is attached (by aminoacyl-tRNA synthetases). tRNAs cope with the degeneracy of the genetic code in two manners: having more than one tRNA (with a specific anti-codon) for a particular amino acid; and 'wobble' base-pairing, i.e. permitting non-standard base-pairing at the 3rd anti-codon position. Lineage: Bacteria; Pseudomonadati; Lentisphaerota; Lentisphaeria. The record is from RNAcentral.
GCGCAGCUGGUGAAAUGGCAGACACGCAGGACUUAGGAUCCUGUGCCGCAAGGCGUGAGGGUUCAAGUCCCUCGCUGCGCACCA